GAAUGGAGUUGUGGGGCUCAAAAACAGAACAAUUCUUGACAUGGUUCGAAGUAUGUUAAAGAGUAAACAUAUGCCUAAAGAAUUCUGGGCUGAAGCUGUUGCUUGUGCUGUGUAUCUGUCUAAUCGUAGCCCUUCAAAAAGUCCGCAGAAUGCUACUCCACAAGAAGCAUGGAGUGGAUGGAAGCCAACUAUUUCUCACCUAAAAGUGUUUGGCAGUAUAACUUAUUCUCAUGUUGCAGAUGAGAUGAGAACUAAAUUGGAUGAUAAGAGUGAGAAGCUUGUGUUUAUCGGGUAUGACUCAAAGUCCAAAGGCUACAAGCUUUACAAUCCAAGGAGCAAGAAGACAAUUAUUAGCAAGGAUGUCAAGUUUGAUGAAGAGGAUUUUUGGAGAUGGGAGAAUAAAACUAAUGAUUAUAGUUUUCUUCCUUUGUUUGAUAAUCAUUCAGAUCAAAGCAGAGUUGAUGCGCAGAUUUUCACACCUCCAGGCACUCUAUUUUAAGUUCGUAAUGAUUUAACUCCUCAAAGCUCCUCCGAAAGGCCUCAAAAGAUGAAGAGUCUGCAAGAUAUUUAUGCAGAAACUAAAGAAAUUCAUAAUUCAGCUCUUUAUUGUCUUUUUGCAGAUGCAGAGCCCAUAGAUUUUGAGGAAGCAAUGCAAGAAGAAAAAUGGAGAAUUGUAAUGGAUGAAGAAAUGAAUGCAAUUAAGAAAAAUGGCACAUGGGAGUUGACAAAUCUUCAAGAAGGAAAGCAGCCUGUUGGAGUAAAAUGGAUUUACAAAGUAAAGCAGAAUGAGAAAGGUGAGGUGAAGAAGUUCAAAGCUCGUCUUGUGGCAAGAGGAUUCGGUCAAAAGCCUGGCAUUGAUUAUGAUGAAGUGUUCGCACCUGUUGCUAGGUUGGAAACUAUUCGAUUGAUCAUGGCAUUAGUAGCUCAAAAGAAGUGGAGAAUUUUUCAGAUGGAUGUAAAAUCAGCAUUUCUGAAUGGGCACUUGGAAGAAGAAGUGUAUGUAGAGCAACCAUUUGGCUAUGUUGUGAAGGGGCAAGAGAAUAAAGUUUUGAAGUUGAAGAAGGCAUUGUAUGGGUUAAAAUAGGCACCCAUAGCUUGGUAUAGCCGCAUAGAUGAUUAUUUUCAGAAAAAGGGUUCACAAAGUGUCCUCGUGAAUAUGGCCUUUAUGUUAAGGUAAAGGAAAAUGGUAAUUUGCUGAUUGUUUACUUGUAUGUUGAUGAUUUGAUCUUUACUGGAAAUAGUCCAUUGAUGUUUGAAGAAUUCAAGAAGGAGAUGGCUGAAGAAUUUGAUAUGACUGAUAUUGGGCUCAUGUCAUAUUAUCUUGGAAUUGAAGUACAACAAUCUAAUAAUGGCAUUUUUAUUUCUCAAAAGGCUUAUGCAGAAAAGAUUCUGAAGGAGUUCAACAUGGAGAAUUGCCAAUCAGUUUCUACUCCUGUUGAAUGCGGAACAAAGCUGUCUCGAUAUGAUGAUGGUGAAAAGGUGAAUCCAACCUUGUAUAGGAAGGAAGCUUGUUGGAAAUCUAAGGUAUUUGACAUGUACCAGGCCAGAUAUUCUUUAUGGAGUUGGUCUCAUCAGUCGAUAUAUGGGGGCACCAACUACCAUGCACAUGAAAGCUGCUAAAAGAAUCUUGCGCUAUGUGAAAGGUAUAAAUGGAGUAUGGUUUGUUUUAUUCUGCUUCUAACAAUUUCGGAUUGAUUGGAUAUAGUGACAGUGAUUGGGAAGGAGAUAUUGAUGAUCGAAAGAGCACUACAGGUUUUCUAUUUUUCAUUGGUCAAGCUGCAUUCACUUGGAGUUCGAAGAAGCAACCAACUGUGACUCUCUCAACCUGUGAAGCUGAAUAUGUAGUUGCAGCUUCAUGUGUUUGUCAUGCUAUAUGGCUUCGGAAGUUGUUACAGAUGUUGUAAGUUACACAAGAAGAAGCUACUAAAAUUUUUAUUGAUAACAAGUCAGCCAUAGCAUUUGGAAAAAAUCCCAUUUUUCAUGACAGAAGCAAACACAUAGAUACCAGGUUUCAUUUCAUUAGAGAGAGCAUUAGCAAGAAAGAGGUGCAACUAAAGUAUGUGAAGUCUUAUAAUCAAGUUACUGAUAUUUUGACCAAGGCACUAAAGUUUGCAGAUUUUUCCAGACUAAGAACUCAGCUUGGGAUAAUUAAAAUUCAAGUUUAAGGAGUGUUGGAAGAUAAACUUGAAUUAAUUGCUAUUAUAUGUUGAGUUUAUCUAGAUGUUCAAGUUCAACGUAUCUAGAUUAGGAUAAGUCACAUUUCUGUUUUAAAUAGCCUUGUAUGUUUUGAUUUUUGAAUAUAGAGAAAUUUCCAGUUUACGAUAUUUUUCUUUUCCCAACACU
This 2343-nucleotide unclassified non-coding RNA is filed under the name Hevea brasiliensis (rubber tree). The record is from RNAcentral. Lineage: Eukaryota; Viridiplantae; Streptophyta; Magnoliopsida; Malpighiales; Euphorbiaceae.